This 1099-nucleotide small RNA is filed under the name Histoplasma capsulatum G186AR. Its description in RNAcentral is "hypothetical RNA". Lineage: Eukaryota; Fungi; Ascomycota; Eurotiomycetes; Onygenales; Ajellomycetaceae. The record is from RNAcentral.
UUGGGGCUGGGGUUCUGGCAUUUGGUGCGUGGAGAAUUGGCUAGGGACAAAUUGGUGAUAGGGGUUACUCCUCCGGAUUCAAAAUGGGAUAUUAUAUCUGCGAAACUCGAUGAGCCGCUGGGCGCGGCAUGUUCGACAUUAUCGCUAUCGGUGGUGUCUAUGAGUGUCUGGCUAUAUUCAGGUGUUGUGGCAUUGUCCGGUUCGUCAGUAUAUGGUUCGGAACUGCGGAUGCGGGCGGCAGCGAUUUCUUCCUCGUCUCUGUGGUAUGACUCCGGCGGAGCUAGGAGGACGCGAUAGCCCCAGCUCCAUCGAAGCAGCUGGCCCAGUUGCUGGAAGAUCAGGAGAUAGAGGAUGCCCCUGGCUGCAACCUCCUGGCUGUUGUCGUUUGGUAUGCGAUCCCAGCGCAGGCCUUCUAGAGUGUGGGCCAGCGACAACACGAGCGAGAUGGGUAGCGAAUUGGAGUUCCCAAAGACCUGUAAUUUGGUUAGCCAAAUGUAUAUGUAGAGAAGAGGGAAAGAGAGAGAGAGAGAGAGGCUCAGGGGCGGGGAGACACAUACGCCCAUGGCGACCACAAAGUUGGACUGGGGCUUGUUGAAGCGGAACAGCCGAGAGACCACGGAGGCACACAGAUAGGAGACCGCAGUCUGGACCGCGAAGAUGCAAGGGAUGAUGGCCAGGUCUGUCAGUUUUCCCGCGGUUAAUUGGGAGGCGAGUUUUGUGAAGACUGGUAGAAUGUCAGUCGCAGUAUAUAUAUAUAUAUCUAAUAUGGGUACGUAGUUAAAAAAAAACAAAAACAAAACAAAACACACACCGAGACAUGGGGUAAACAGUGCGACAUUGAGAUUGGCGACGAAUUUCUGGGCCUCCGCAUCAAACCUGCCCAUACGGGCUAGGAUAUAGCCGGGGAGACUGACGCAGACGAUCUCGAGGACUGCGGACAGGACCAGGAUGACAAGCCGCGGCAGCGGAGGUUGAGCAGCCUGCGGAGAAGCAGCGGUGUUGAGCAAGAGGGAAGAGUGAGAAAGCCAGCCAGCGGCGGCGGCGGCCAGGUGUUGCUGGGCUACAUGCUGGUUGAGGGCGGAGAUGGAGGAGAUGGAGG